GAACCAUUACACACAAGUUUAAAAGUAGCUACAAGAAAUAAUCAUGAAAACUUCGUUUGUUUCUCUAUUGUCCCUUUGGAAACUAAUCUAAACAACGACACCAGUCACUCGACAGAACUUCCCCAUUAAUCAAUGAAUAUCUUAAGCACAUUCCUAUGUGCAUUGUUGUUUGUGUUUAUCGCUAGAAUUCAUGGGAUUGUUUUUCUGAAGUGAUAAACAACUUUUGUCGAUGUGAUGUCUAUAAAACUAAGUAAGAUUGAGCUACUGUAGUAAUUUAAAAGCAAUGAGUCGAAAACCAGUAGCAACGUUUCUGUCGCUACUCAUUUGUUUCGUGCACUACAGUCAGCAGAUCCCACGUGUAAUAGACACGUUCAAGACUCCUCAAGUACAAAAUGGUAUCCUUCAAAUUGAAAGAAACAAUUGGACAGAGAUCCAGUUUGGAAUAAUCUAUGUAGAGGGAGAAGAAGACACAACAUACAGAUACGCUAUACAUCUAUCACUUAAUGAGAGAGUGCAUUGAUCCACUUUACCCUAACCUAAAUCACCCCUACUUUAGGCUUCACUCUAGCAGCCAUUGUCCUCCAGAUGAACUAGUCAAGCAAAGACACUCCUCUUGCCAGCGUCUUAUCGUUUCAAUCCGCGGUGAUGAUGCUAUUAAUAACAGUGUGAUGGCUUUGAGUGAUAAAUGCCUUCAUCUUGCUGCUGAGAGUACCGGCUCGGUCCCGUUUCUUGGCGAUAAACUGACUAAUCCACAGUAUCAAAGCUUCAGGAUACAAGUUAUUGAGGAUGAUGUCCCUAACUCCUUCAACAUACAGAAACUGAUCUCAGACAUUGACGAAAAAACUACGGAAAUUUCUCAGCAUAGAGUCUACAUCCUAGCCACUAUGAUUUGCAGUGUUGGGUCAUUUGCUCUGCUGUUACUGUACACUAUUACAAUACCAGUGGUGAAGUGGAUCAUCGGGAGACUUACAGGUGGUGCCCAAAAGCAAAGUGCAAGGAACACUGAUAUGGACAGUGAAGGCACAGUGUUGACGAACAGUGUCUGUCUUAUGGAGCAAAUGAGCAAAGAUGACAAUCACACAUUUCUUACUGAGCCAAGACAUACGCUUUGUCGAAGAAGUUCCAUAUAAUUCCUCAUAAUUAUGUCUGCAUGGCUUAGGUGGACAGGUAUGGAUAUACAAUUAACGGUCAUUACUAUAGGAGGCUCUUGUACAUGGAGUACAUUAACAAAAUAGGUGUUGAACUGUGUAUUUACCUGUAUAUAUAUAUAUACAGCCACUGCAAUACUAAAAUUAUUAUUCCACUGAGUCAA
Molecule: long non-coding RNA, 1312 nt
Organism: Halichondria panicea
Lineage: Eukaryota; Metazoa; Porifera; Demospongiae; Suberitida; Halichondriidae
Exons: 4
Source: RefSeq, a predicted model, not a curated record